UUUGAAAUCUAGCACCUUCGGUGUUCGAGUUGUAAUUUGAAGAUGGUAACCUUGGGUUUGGCUCUUGUCUAUGUUCCUUGGAACAGGACGUCAUAGAGGGUGAGAAUCCCGUCUGAUGAGAUGCCCAUUCCUAUGUAAGGUGCUAUCGAAGAGUCGAGUUGUUUGGGAAUGCAGCUCUAAGUGGGUGGUAAAUUCCAUCUAAAGCUAAAUAUUGGCGAGAGACCGAUAGCGAACAAGUACAGUGAUGGAAAGAUGAAAAGAACUUUGAAAAGAGAGUGAAAAAGUACGUGAAAUUGUUGAAAGGGAAGGGCAUUAGAUCAGACUUGGUGUUUUACGAUUAUCUUCUCUUCUUGAGUUGUGCACUCGUAUUUCACUGGGCCAGCAUCGAUUCGGAUGGCAAGAUAAUGGCAGUUGAAUGUGGCUUCACUUCGGUGGAGUGUUAUAGCUUCUGCUGAUAUUGCCUGUCUGGAUCGAGGGCUGCGUCUUUUGACUAGGAUGCUGGCGUAAUGAUCUAAUGCCGCCCGUCUUGAAACACG
Molecule: ribosomal RNA, 536 nt
Filed under: Hansenula anomala
Lineage: Eukaryota; Fungi; Ascomycota; Saccharomycetes; Phaffomycetales; Wickerhamomycetaceae
Description: Wickerhamomyces anomalus partial large subunit ribosomal RNA
Rfam family: Eukaryotic large subunit ribosomal RNA
Source: RNAcentral